Molecule: ribosomal RNA, 268 nt
Filed under: uncultured bacterium
Lineage: Bacteria
Description: partial 16S ribosomal RNA
Rfam family: Bacterial small subunit ribosomal RNA
Source: RNAcentral
ACCGGCGCACGGGUGAGUAACACGUAUGCAAACCCUUGGGGCCGUGACAGAUGGAUAACCGGGAGAAAUCCCGCCUAAUACAACAUAAUGCCGGGAGGGGACAUCCCCUGCCGGCCAAAGGGGCGACCCCGGUCACGGAUGGGCAUGCGGCGCAUUAGGUAGUUGGUGGGGCAACGGCCCACCAAGCCGACGAUGCGUAGGGGUUCUGAGAGGAAGGUCCCCCACAUUGGAACUGAGACACGGUCCAAACUCCUACGGAAGGCAGCAG